CAGAGUUCUCGCCCUUCCGGGUAGAUCUCCCACCCACUGUUAUUGUUACCGUCGUUUCUUUGGCGGGCCGCCGGGCCCUGCUCGGCCGCCGGCCCCGGCUGGCGCGUGCCCGCCAGAGGCCCUUCAAACUCUGAAUGUUAGUGUCGUCUGAGUACUAUACAAUAGUUA
Molecule: unclassified non-coding RNA, 168 nt
Filed under: uncultured fungus
Lineage: Eukaryota; Fungi
Description: sequence contains ITS1, 5.8S rRNA gene
Source: RNAcentral